This 429-nucleotide ribosomal RNA is filed under the name Chloroflexota bacterium. Its description in RNAcentral is "Chloroflexi bacterium partial 16S ribosomal RNA". It matches the Rfam family "Bacterial small subunit ribosomal RNA", at positions 355 to 776 of the family's 1533-position model. Lineage: Bacteria; Bacillati; Chloroflexota. The record is from RNAcentral.
UGGGGAAUAUUGCACAAUGGGCGCAAGCCUGAUGCAGCCAUGCCGCGUGUAUGAAGAAGGCCUUCGGGUUGUAAAGUACUUUCAGUCGGGAGGAAGGUGGUAAGGUUAAUAACCUUAUCAAUUGACGUUACCGACAGAAGAAGCACCGGCUAACUCCGUGCCAGCAGCCGCGGUAAUACGGAGGGUGCAAGCGUUAAUCGGAAUUACUGGGCGUAAAGCGCACGCAGGCGGUUUGUUAAGUCAGAUGUGAAAUCCUCGGGCUCAACCUGGGAACUGCAUCUGAUACUGGCAAGCUUGAGUCUCGUAGAGGGGGGUAGAAUUCCAUGUGUAGCGGUGAAAUGCGUAGAGAUCUGGAGGAAUACCGGUGGCGAAGGCGGCCCCCUGGACGAAGACUGACGCUCAGGUGCGAAAGCGUGGGGAGCAAACAGG